Long non-coding RNA from Manis javanica (Malayan pangolin), 657 nucleotides. RefSeq lists it as uncharacterized. The record is from RefSeq and is a predicted model, not a curated record. NCBI's taxonomy places the organism in Eukaryota, Metazoa, Chordata, Mammalia, Pholidota, Manidae.
GGCCCGGGAUGUUUUCCUGGGAUCCCAACUCCGGGCCGCACGACAGAAACGCGUCCACGCCCCGAAACCCCCGGCUUUUAAACUCCACUGAAGCUUCUUCAGGACCCUCAGAUGAGGAGGGAGGUGCCACCAGCCAAGCCAAACAUCCUGUACUCCCGAGAUAAAAGGGCAGCCCUCAAACGAGCCGCGGAACGCCGGAGCUCUCCUGAGCCGAGUGACUUCACCUGCAGCGGCCUCUGGGACAGGGAAGGUCAGGACUUGCUCCUUCAACAAACACAAACUUCCAGAAAAGUUAGAAAACUCGUUUAGAUGGAAGACAUGAAGAAAUCUGCCUUUCUUCUAGGGGACCUGGCAAGAGGUGGGGUGGGCUAGUGGAAACCAAAGGUGACAUGAACUUGGACUCAGACCCUUCAGGGCUCAGUGAAGAGCUGGCUACAGAGGAAGGAAAGAAAAUGAGCGUCUUUUUUUGUGAGUGUGACCUGAGCCAAUGGCAAAACUUUCGAGGAGCAGGGCCAGCCAGGCCAUCAUGCCUCAAACCUGGGUGAGACACUCAGAGCCCUGAGUCACCUUCCCUGGAGAAAGGACAGCUUGCAGAAAAAGUCACUUUGGGUGCUCCCUUCAUUUAUAUGCACACAUUAUUAUUCCACUAAACUCAAA